CUCCUGGCCCAGCAGGGAGGCUGUAAGACACCUCCUGGCUGAGGCAGGGAUGACUUCAGUGGCCUGUCCCUCCGGGGGCUGGUGCUUUGGACCACUGCCUUGACCGUUCCCUUGGUGUGGGGUGUCUGAAUUGUCUUGACAUCAGCACCAGGCAUCUGCGGUUCCUGACCCAACUGAUUCCUUCUCCUAGACGUGGUCUCAGCCCUUCUCUUUUCUGCCUGCCUCGAUCCUGAAUGGCAGCAACUUAGGAUCCAAGGGCCUAAGUACUCCAGCCUUGAAGGAAUCAGAGGAGGCUUAUGGAGCUGUCCCUGGCAACCCCAACGGGACCGCUUUGCAUUCCUGCCAGCUUCUCCUAUAGCGUCGUGACCAAGGGCACAAGGAAGCUCUGGAGCCAGACUGCCUGGGUUCAGGGCCAUGACUAGCCGUGUGACCUUAGGUCCCGGUCGCCAGAGAUGCCCGAUCAUGUGCCAUCCCACAGCCAAGCGCCUGUGUCCAUCUGCUAGGGAGCCCGAGGCGAGAUGAUGGCCUUCUUCUCAAGUUCCACGCAGCCGAGGAGCAGUGCAGGGGGCCUGGUGGGCUCAGCAGCACCCCUGAUGGGUUCCCAGAGAAGAGCUGCUGAGCUCAGAAGCGAGCGCCUGACAAGAGUUGUGCCGCACGCGGCCACACUGAGUUCCAGAGAGGCUGCUCUUGCGUCUCCCACACAGACGGGUCUGCUGCUCUGGACGGACGCCCACCUCCCUACAGCCUUGUUCUCAUGGAAUAUUACCUCUUCCUUUUUCAUCUUUGCCAAGAGCACAUCAUGUGUCUUAUUUUGCAUUUAUUUGGUCUUUACCGAGAUUGAAAAUAUUUUCAAGUGUUUCCUGGCCAUUUCUGUUUCUUCUGUGAAUUGCUGUUCAUCUAGACUGAAUUUUCUGUGUUUGCUUUUGCUUUCUCUUGCCUGGAAGGAGUAGCUCCUGGCUGAACUGAUGGCUAAGAGUUGAGCCAGGAUGUGGGCAUCCUGGCCUCCAGAGGUUUCUAAGGUGGAAGGAAACGAGCCAGUUGGCCUGAAAAAUCUGGGAGUGCACCAGCCUCCACUCCCUGUGGGAAGAUGGGUGGGGCAGCUUUACACAGAGCUUCACAGGGAGAAUGGACUACCACUUGCCUUGAUAGAGAGGGUUGGACCAAAUGAUUCUGGUGGUUUCUCUGAUCCCCAGAUUCCAUGAAAGAUGGGGAAUUUGGAAGCCAAACUUAGAUAUGGCCUGGCUUCCAGAUCUAAAUUCUGACCUGCUCUGGAAUUAGGGUGGGGUGACUGGCAGAGUCAGAGUGAGGAGAGGCUGGACAGGCGGAGGAGAGGCAAACUCAUUAUGCUCCUGGAGCAAGUGAGGACCACCCCACAUGGGGCCUGGCUCCCCCUCCUAGCACCAGGCAGAACCGUGGCCCAUGUGCUGUUUGCUUUCCUUUCACCUUGCCCUGGAAUUUUUCUGGCCCCAGAAAUAUGGGCCACCAGAGCUACAAACGUCCUCUAAGAUCUUCCAGGGUGAGGAGAAGAGCCAAGCAAAAAAGGAGAAGUAAAAACAAAGAUGAGCACACACCCCUAUGACCACAUUUAUAAAAAGUUAAAUAUAUUUAUGCAGUAUAUCUAAAAAGCAAGUGAAUAAAACUCUCUCUCUCUCUUUUUUUUUUUUUUACAAAAUAUUUCCUUCCCCCAAAUUGUUCUGCUAGAGCUCUGUUCGCUAAAGAGUGGCGAUGAGGGGAUGAGACCUUCCUUAUCCACCCCCCUAUUUUGCAGAAGAACAAACUGAGGCACAGGGCAGGCACACGAUUGCCACACACAGCAAGUGGCGUUUGAUCCUGAAUCUCCUGCCU
Molecule: long non-coding RNA, 1845 nt
Organism: Equus caballus (horse)
Lineage: Eukaryota; Metazoa; Chordata; Mammalia; Perissodactyla; Equidae
Source: Ensembl